Long non-coding RNA from Strigops habroptila (Kakapo), 1587 nucleotides. RefSeq lists it as uncharacterized. NCBI's taxonomy places the organism in Eukaryota, Metazoa, Chordata, Aves, Psittaciformes, Psittacidae. The transcript has 2 exons. The record is from RefSeq and is a predicted model, not a curated record.
GUUGUUUUGACGUCAUCUGAUUUCGUCAUAGAAGGUGCUGUAGGAGAUCGUUAUGCUGAAAAACUCCCAACAAAAUGGAUAUUUUUUAGAUGACAGUGUAACACUUGAUUGACACUCGAAAGUAGACUAUUUCUUCUGGAGUGCUUCUGGGUUUAUCAGUUAGCACUGUCCUUUAUGGUUUCAUCCCAGACCAGAUAGCCUCAUUCCUGUUCCAGUGUAAGGUAUAGUUACUAAUCUGUUUGCACCUGCCUGUACCAUAUUUUUUUAAAGGCUUUGGAGUGGUUACUUUGCUGGGAUUUUUGUGGGGUUUUUUUCCAGCUGACUUCAUUUAUCUAGAAGCUAGGUGUCCAGUCAGAGCUACUUGUCUUGGCUCCCUCUCUGUCAAUCGUAUUGACACCGUAGUGUGUCCUCUCCUAGUCAUGCUGUCCUUCCAUUGGCUCCAGCUUUAACUGGGUACCCACCUCUGACUGCUGAUGUUUGGUAGGAUGGACUCUGCCACCCCAUCAGUAGGAGCUGAUCUCUGAACAUCCCCUGGUGCCUUGGAAUUGUUUUUUUUCCCUGGGUGUGUAAGCUGUAAUAUCCCACUGAACACUGCAGAACUGCCCCUGCUGCAGCAGGAUGGUGUUGGCCACGCAGCAGGGAAGCUGGUAUGCUGAUUCCUAUGCAACGCCUUGUCCUGGAUCUGAGCCUUGUGGCCAGUAGUCCUAGAAGGGGAAUGUAUGUCAAUAUUUAAUUAAAUAAUGUAAAUAUUUAAUUAAAAAUGGCUUAAUCAAAGCCAUCAGCUGGCAUCCUGCCUUUGCUGAGGGAGACCUUUGCUAGGUGCAGUGAGGGAUUGGAUUUUUCUUUUCUAUACAAUGCCAUCUCCACAAAAGCCAUGGUUGCAGACAUCCUUAAACAGCCUGGGCUUUCCAGGGUCUAGGAGCCAUACAUGCCAAUGACGGGAGUGCACUAUGGUUUAGGAUGGGAGCCCUGGAAGGCUGCAGUCAUACCGUAUGACAUUGAAUAGCCACAAGUAGAGCACACGUGAAACCAGCUGAUGGUUCAAAAUGCUGUUUCCACUCACCCAGAAACCCCAGGAGAAACUACUGUUGCAGUAGCUUUACAGAGGGGAAGAAGGAAAAAAACAUAUUCCCUUUUUAGGGUAGCAUUCUCUCUUCAUCGAAAUUACUGGAAAUACUUUUAUCAGUGGCUUUACUUCUUGUGGCUUAUGGAUCUUCUUGAUUAAAUCCUGUAUACUGUAGAGAGAGGAGGUAUGUACCAUGGGAAUGCCACACAUGGUGGGGUGUGGAUUCCCCAAGCUGCCACUCGCCAAACCCCAAAGACAAGUCGGUUCUGGGCACAAAUAAGCACAGUUUCCAGAGAGGACUGUUCCUUACAGUUGUGCUUCUUCCUCACAGAUCUGAACCUCAUCUCUUCUUGGUUGUAUUUCACUCAAAAACAGUGCAUGUAAAUAUAAAUCCAGUUCCCUGCAAGUAUUGUUGGGAUGCCAAGAAUUCCCCUACUAUUAUUUUGUCAAGAAAAUAGUAUAUUCUGUAGUUCUGCUCAGUUAUUUUCAUCCAAUAAAUGGGAACAUUUCCACACCAAGUG